UAUUUCCUGCCCAAUGAUGUAUUUUAAAUGGCUGCAGUAUUCUGACUGUACAAAGGUAGCAUAAUAAUUAGUCUUUUAAUUGAGGACUGGAAUGAAUGGAAGUAUGAGAAAUAUAUUUUAUUUUUUUUAUUUUUAUAAUUUUAUUUUUAAGUAAAAAAUCUUAAUUGUUUUUUAGGGACGAAAAGACCCUGUAGAACUUAAAUUAUUAACUUAAAUUUAAUUUUAUUUAGUUUUAUUAAUUGGUUAUUUUUGUAUAUAGUUUUGUUGGGGGGACAAGUAAAUGUUUUAACUUUACUUUUUUAAAUCAUUAUUUAAGUGUUUAUGUUGAUCCUUUUUAAGAAAAUAAGACAAAGUUACCUCAGGGAUAACAGCGUAAUUUUAAUGGGGAGAUCUUAUUUAUAUUAAAGUUUGCGACCUCGAUGUUGAAUUAAGAAAAAUUUAAGGGGUAGGUUCUUUAAUAUUAAGUCUGU
RNAcentral lists this ribosomal RNA (470 nucleotides) under Ujna maolanana. Its description in RNAcentral is "partial large subunit ribosomal RNA". The record is from RNAcentral. Lineage: Eukaryota; Metazoa; Arthropoda; Insecta; Hemiptera; Cicadellidae.